UGUUCCUUCACCUUUGACACACCUCCUUGGAGAAGUGCCAGGUCUUAGCACAAAAGCAUCAGCUCUGGUGGGGUGACAAGAGCACUCAGAACAACAGCAAAGCAGUGGAAGUGUAACACAAACAAUAGGAAUGACAUUUCCAGGGUAGCGCUGAAGGAGGAUAUCUGAUGGAAGUGCUGCUCUAUCUCAGCUGGACUGUCUGCCCAGGGCAGAGGAAGCCAAAAGAAAUCUGUCUUUGUGCAUCUUACACAUCUUUGGAGAAAAAGGGAGAGAUUGAAAGAAGUAACAGCAAGAACAAAAACAGUGCUUAAGUUCCUAAAGGAAACAUCUGAUGAGUGAGGAGCCUUUGGUACAAGAACUAGUUUCCACUUCAGUGAUGAAGCUUCAUGUGGCCACUUGGGCAACACAAAAGCAAGCACACACAGCCCUUCUCUGCUGAAAUGAGCUUUUGUCCCAAUCCUCCCAUGCCACAGAUCACUACCAGGAAAAGAAGAGCAACUCUCUUCAUGGCAAGAGGAACUGACUGCGAUCCUUCAGCAAACUGAUCUGAAAAAGUCGAAGUAGAUGGAGAGAAGUGCUUCCAUUACCAAUUCAACGCCACUGACUUCCUCUGAAGAGACUAAUCCAGCCUCCAAUUCUGCUCUCACAA
This is a long non-coding RNA of Meleagris gallopavo (turkey), 649 nucleotides long. RefSeq lists it as uncharacterized. The record is from RefSeq and is a predicted model, not a curated record. Lineage: Eukaryota; Metazoa; Chordata; Aves; Galliformes; Phasianidae.